This is a non-coding RNA of Mycena leptocephala, 92 nucleotides long. NCBI's taxonomy places the organism in Eukaryota, Fungi, Basidiomycota, Agaricomycetes, Agaricales, Mycenaceae. The record is from the annotation of a GenBank genome assembly.
GGUCUCGUGGUGAAGCGGUAACACAUCCUCAGUCAAUAUGUUGGACCAGAUUGUCUAUGAGGAAGUCCCUUGUUCGAACCAAGGUGAGGCCA